RNAcentral lists this ribosomal RNA (875 nucleotides) under uncultured bacterium. RNAcentral's name for it is "bacterial SSU rRNA". It matches the Rfam family "Bacterial small subunit ribosomal RNA", at positions 8 to 839 of the family's 1533-position model. The record is from RNAcentral.
AGAGUUUGAUCAAUGGCUCAGGAUGAACGCUGGCGGCGUGCCUAAUACAUGCAAGUCGGACGCUUUGUGCUUAAUUGAUAUGACGAGCUUGCUCUGAUUUGAUUUUUUGAUUUCAAAGAGUGGCGAACGGGUGAGUAACACGUGGGUAACCUACCUCUUAGCAGGGGAUAACAUUUGGAAACAAGUGCUAAUACCGUAUAAUACCAACAACCGCAUGGUUGUUGGUUGAAAGAUGGUUCUGCUAUCACUAAGAGAUGGACCCGCGGUGCAUUAGCUAGUUGGUAAGGUAAUGGCUUACCAAGGCAAUGAUGCAUAGCCGAGUUGAGAGACUGAUCGGCCACAAUGGGACUGAGACACGGCCCAUACUCCUACGGGAGGCAGCAGUAGGGAAUCUUCCACAAUGGGCGCAAGCCUGAUGGAGCAACGCCGCGUGUGUGAUGAAGGGUUUCGGCUCGUAAAACACUGUUAUAAGAGAAGAACGGCACUGAGAGUAACUGUUCAGUGUGUGACGGUAUCUUACCAGAAAGGAACGGCUAAAUACGUGCCAGCAGCCGCGGUAAUACGUAUGUUCCAAGCGUUAUCCGGAUUUAUUGGGCGUAAAGCGAGCGCAGACGGUUAUUUAAGUCUGAAGUGAAAGCCCUCAGCUCAACUGAGGAAUUGCUUUGGAAACUGGAUGACUUGAGUGCAGUAGAGGAAAGUGGAACUCCAUGUGUAGCGGUGAAAUGCGUAGAUAUAUGGAAGAACACCAGUGGCGAAGGCGGCUUUCUGGACUGUAACUGACGUUGAGGCUCGAAAGUGUGGGUAGCAAACAGGAUUAGAUACCCUGGUAGUCCACACCGUAAACGAUGAGUGCUAGAACGUUCGAGGGUUUCCGC